This 253-nucleotide ribosomal RNA is filed under the name uncultured bacterium. RNAcentral describes it as "partial 16S ribosomal RNA". It matches the Rfam family "Bacterial small subunit ribosomal RNA", at positions 524 to 776 of the family's 1533-position model. The record is from RNAcentral.
UACGGAGGAUCCAAGCGUUAUCCGGAUUUAUUGGGCUUAAAGGGUGCGCAGGCGGCCAGUUAAGUCAGGGGUGAAAGACGGUAGCUCAACCAUCGCAGUGCCUUUGAUACUGAUUGGCUUGAAUGUACUUGAGGUAGGCGGAAUGUGACAAGUAGCGGUGAAAUGCAUAGAUAUGUCACAGAACACCAAUUGCGAAGGCAGCUUACUGAAGUAUGAUUGACGCUGAGGCACGAAAGCGUGGGGAUCAAACAGG